AAUAGAUACCCAGGUAGUCCUGGCCGUAAACGAUGUCGACUAGGUGUCGGGGGUAUCGACCCCCUCGGCGCCGCAGCUAACGCAUUAAGUCGACCGCCUGGGGACUACGGCCGCAAGGCUAAAACUCAAAGGAAUUGACGGGGGCCCGCGACAAGCAGCGGAGCGUGUGGUUUAAUUCGAUGCAACGCGCAGAACCUUACCUCGACUUGACAUGCACGUGGUACCAAGGUGUAAGCCAAGGGACCCGCGAGGGAGCGUGCACAGAUGCUGCAUGGCUGUCGUCAGCUCGUGCCGUGAGGUGUUGGGUUAAGUCCCGCAACGAGCGCAACCCUCGCCCUUAGUUGCCAUCAUUUAGUUGGGCACUCUAAGGGGACUGCCGGUGAUAAGCCGCGAGGAAGGUGGGGAUGACGUCAAGUCCUCAUGGCCCUUACGGGCUGGGCUACACACGUGCUACAAUGGCGGUGACAAUGGGACGCAAUGGAGCAAUCCUGCGCAAAUCUCAAAAAGCCGUCUCAGUUCGGAUUGGGGU
This 529-nucleotide ribosomal RNA is filed under the name uncultured bacterium. RNAcentral's name for it is "bacterial SSU rRNA". It matches the Rfam family "Bacterial small subunit ribosomal RNA", at positions 777 to 1304 of the family's 1533-position model. The record is from RNAcentral.